RNAcentral lists this ribosomal RNA (447 nucleotides) under uncultured bacterium. RNAcentral describes it as "partial 16S ribosomal RNA". It matches the Rfam family "Bacterial small subunit ribosomal RNA", at positions 29 to 523 of the family's 1533-position model. The record is from RNAcentral.
AGCGAACGCUGGCGGCAGGCUUAACACAUGAAAGACGAACGCCCCGCAAGGGGCGUGGCAGACGGGUGAGUAACACGUGGGAACGUACCCUUUGGUUCGGAAUAACUUGGGGACACUCAAGAUAAUACCGGAUAAGCCCUUAUGGGGAAAGGUUUACUGCCGAAGGAUAGGACCGCGUCUGAUUAGCUAGUUGGUGAGGUAAUGGCUCACCAAGGCGACGAUCAGUAUCUGGUCUGAGAUGAUGAUCAGCCACACUGGGACUGAGACACGGCCCAGGGUCCUACAGAAGGCAACUGUGGGGAAUAUUUGACAAUGGGGGCAACCCUGAUCAAGCCAUGGCGCGUGAGUGAUGAAGGCCUUAGGGUUGUAAAGCUCUAUUACCCGGGACAAUAAUGACUGUACCGGCAGAAUAAGCCUCGGCUAUCUUCGUGCCAGCCGCCGCAGUAA